UGACAUAAAAUUUGGGGUGGACAACAAAGUUGAUUUCUAUGCAGUUUCGUUUGUUAAAGAUUCAUAAGUAGUUCGUGAAUUGAAGAAUUAUCUUCAAAGUAAAAUGUGCUUGGGUUUUAUGUUCACAAGGUUAAUUUCAGUUGCAUGCGUGAUAAUCGAGUUAAAUUUAACAUGCCUGAUGUUUUACUUUGUAUCUUGGCAG
Molecule: unclassified non-coding RNA, 202 nt
Filed under: Hevea brasiliensis (rubber tree)
Lineage: Eukaryota; Viridiplantae; Streptophyta; Magnoliopsida; Malpighiales; Euphorbiaceae
Source: RNAcentral